UCUAAUAUGGCAGAUUAGUGCAAUAGAUUUAAGCCCUAUAUAUAAAGAACACUUUUAUUAGAA
This 63-nucleotide transfer RNA is filed under the name Phobaeticus serratipes. RNAcentral describes it as "tRNA-Leu". Lineage: Eukaryota; Metazoa; Arthropoda; Insecta; Phasmatodea; Phasmatidae. The record is from RNAcentral.